UACGUAGGGUGCGAGCGUUGUCCGGAAUUAUUGGGCGUAAAGAGCUUGUAGGCGGUUUGUCGCGUCUGCCGUGAAAAUCCGGGGCUCAACCCCGGACUUGCGGUGGGUACGGGCAGACUAGAGUGUGGUAGAGGAGACUGGAAUUCCCGGUGUAGAGGUGAAAUUCGUAGAUAUCGGGAGGAACACCAGUGGCGAAGGCGGCGAUCUGGGAAGAUACUGACGCUGAGGUGCGAAAGCGUGGGGAGCAAACAGG
Molecule: ribosomal RNA, 253 nt
Filed under: uncultured bacterium
Lineage: Bacteria
Description: partial 16S ribosomal RNA
Rfam family: Bacterial small subunit ribosomal RNA
Source: RNAcentral